This 269-nucleotide ribosomal RNA is filed under the name uncultured prokaryote. Its description in RNAcentral is "partial 16S ribosomal RNA". It matches the Rfam family "Bacterial small subunit ribosomal RNA", at positions 524 to 792 of the family's 1533-position model. The record is from RNAcentral.
UACGUAGGGGGCCAGCGUUGUCCGGAAUUACUGGGCGUAAAGCGCGCGCAGGCGGCUUGGUCAGCGGCGGGUGCAAUUUCAGGGCUCAACUCUGAAACUGCUCGCCGUACUGCCAGGCUUGAGUACGGGAGAGGGCAGUGGAAUUCCCGGUGUAGCGGUGGAAUGCGUAAAUAUCGGGAGGAACUCCAGUGGCGAAGGCUGCUGCCUGGAACGUUACUGACGCUGAGGCGCGAAAGCUAGGGGAGCAAACGGGAUUAGAUACCCCCGUA